AACGCAAAUUGCACUCCCUGGCAUUCCGGGGAGUAUGCCUGUUUGAGGGUCAGUUUAAAUUAAUAUCGUUGUGUUGCUUUUUGUGACGCUUCGGAAUUGGGUUAUCUUGAUCCCUCUGGGUUAAGUGACCUAAAAUUGAUGUAUCUCUGUGCAUCUCGGACGUACAUAAGAAUUUUUUCCUAUCCGUCAGGGUUGUCAGGUCCUUAUUAGGUAUGAUCACGUUGCUUGUGAAAUCUGUACCUAUAACGUAACUCAUAUUUUGACCUCAAAUCAGGUAAGAAAACCCGCUGAACUUAA
This 297-nucleotide unclassified non-coding RNA is filed under the name uncultured fungus. Its description in RNAcentral is "partial contains 5.8S ribosomal RNA, internal transcribed spacer 2, and large subunit ribosomal RNA". The record is from RNAcentral. Lineage: Eukaryota; Fungi.